This 230-nucleotide long non-coding RNA is filed under the name Lathyrus oleraceus (garden pea). Its description in RNAcentral is "Pisum sativum (pea) long non-coding RNA (PSAT_LNC040952)". Lineage: Eukaryota; Viridiplantae; Streptophyta; Magnoliopsida; Fabales; Fabaceae. The record is from RNAcentral.
GUGCUUGGAAGCUGAUGUAAGUCCAUCGAGUGGCAUUCGGGUUCCAGUGUGGGUUUGUUUUGGUUCGGAUGCUGAUGUAAGUCCAAGUGAUUGGCAUUCAGGCUCCACGUUUGCCUUCUUGUGUGUGUUUUGGUUCGGAUGCUGAUGUAAGUCCAGUGAUUGGCAUUUAGGCUCCACGUUUGUGUUUGUUUGUGUGCGUGUUAGCCGAGCUACGAAUGCUCUGAUUCUCC